Molecule: ribosomal RNA, 709 nt
Filed under: uncultured bacterium
Lineage: Bacteria
Description: bacterial SSU rRNA
Rfam family: Bacterial small subunit ribosomal RNA
Source: RNAcentral
AGUCGACGGUGAGAGGAGCUUGCUUCUUGGAUCAGUGGCGAACGGGUGAGUAACACGUGAGUAACCUGCCCUUGACUCUGGGAUAACUGCUAGAAAUGGUAGCUAAUACCGGAUACGACCCUCGGCCGCAUGGUCAGGGGGUGGAAAGAAUUUUGGUCAAGGAUGGACUCGCGGCCUAUCAGGUAGUUGGUGAGGUAAUGGCUCACCAAGCCUACGACGGGUAGCCGGCCUGAGAGGGUGAACGGCCACACUGGGACUGAGACACGGCCCAGACUCCUACGGGAGGCAGCAGUGGGGAAUCUUCCGCAAUGGACGAAAGUAUGACGGAGCAACGCCGCGUGUAUGAUGAAGGUCUUCGGAUUGUAAAGUACUGUCUUUGGGGAAGAACAAUAGGUUUGAAAAUAUUGAAUCUAUAUGACGGUACCCAAGGAGGAAGCCCCGGCUAACUACGUGCCAGCAGCCGCGGUAAUACGUAGGGGGCAAGCGUUGUCCGGAAUUAUUGGGCGUAAAGGGCGCGUAGGCGGAUAGUUAAGUCCGGUGUGAAAGAUCAGGGCUCAACCCUGAGAGUGCAUCGGAAACUGGUUAUCUUGAGGACAGGAGAGGAAAGUGGAAUUCCACGUGUAGCGGUGAAAUGCGUAGAUAUGUGGAGGAACGCCAGUGGCGAAGGCGACUUUCUGGACUGUAACUGACGCUGAGGCGCGAAAGCGUG